GCCCCCAUCGUCCAGCGGCCCAGGAUGUCAGGUUCUCAGCCUGGAGACCGGGGUUCGAAUCCCCGUGGGGGUACCA
RNAcentral lists this transfer RNA (76 nucleotides) under Planctomycetota bacterium. RNAcentral describes it as "Planctomycetes bacterium (sediment metagenome) tRNA-Glu". It matches the Rfam family "tRNA". From Rfam's summary of the family: Transfer RNA (tRNA) molecules are approximately 80 nucleotides in length. Their secondary structure includes four short double-helical elements and three loops (D, anti-codon, and T loops). The record is from RNAcentral. Lineage: Bacteria; Pseudomonadati; Planctomycetota.